RNAcentral lists this transfer-messenger RNA (364 nucleotides) under endosymbiont of Euscepes postfasciatus. It matches the Rfam family "transfer-messenger RNA". From Rfam's summary of the family: Bacterial tmRNA, also known as 10Sa RNA or SsrA, is named for its dual tRNA and mRNA-like properties. Its role is to liberate the mRNA from a stalled ribosome. To accomplish this part of the tmRNA is used as a reading frame that ends in a translation stop signal. The record is from RNAcentral. Lineage: Bacteria; Pseudomonadati; Pseudomonadota; Gammaproteobacteria.
GGGACUGAUUGGUAUAGACAAAAUUAUUUAUAUUAUUUUGUGCAUGUCAAGAUUGGAAGUUCUUGUAAAAAAUCCAAUAAAAUGCUUGCAAAACAAGCUAAUUUUGAAUCUGUAGCUAUACAUUAGUUUAGUUACUAUUCCUUCUAUUCUUAAAUUACGCUUUAUAAAUUUAAGAUGUGAAGUAAUUUAAAUAUAAAGCAAAUAUUAAAAUAUAACUAAGAAUAUUUAAUAUUUAAAUUAAAUCUUAGUCGAUUAUCUAAUUAAUUUCUUUUCUUUAAUAGAUAAUUGUAAAUAAGAAAAGAUAAACAUGUAGUACAAUUAAUAUAAAAAUUUUGGACGUGGGUUCGAUUCCCACCAGUUCCAA